RNAcentral lists this ribosomal RNA (423 nucleotides) under bacterium enrichment culture clone ALO1_GLFRUDD03GKPHX. Its description in RNAcentral is "bacterial SSU rRNA". It matches the Rfam family "Bacterial small subunit ribosomal RNA", at positions 9 to 435 of the family's 1533-position model. The record is from RNAcentral. RNAcentral also lists the same sequence under 2 other names.
GAGUUUGAUCGUGGCUCAGAUUGAACGCUGGCGGCAUGCCUUACACAUGCAAGUCGAACGGCAGCACGGGAGCUUGCUCCUGGUGGCGAGUGGCGAACGGGUGAGUAAUGCAUCGGAACGUAUCCUGGAGUGGGGGAUAACGUAGCGAAAGUUACGCUAAUACCGCAUAUUCUGUGAGCAGGAAAGCGGGGGACCUUCGGGCCUCGCGCUCUUGGAGCGGCCGAUGUCGGAUUAGCUAGUUGGUGAGGUAAAGGCUCACCAAGGCGACGAUCCGUAGCAGGUCUGAGAGGAUGAUCUGCCACACUGGAACUGAGACACGGUCCAGACUCCUACGGGAGGCAGCAGUGGGGAAUUUUGGACAAUGGGGGCAACCCUGAUCCAGCCAUGCCGCGUGAGUGAAGAAGGCCUCGGUUGUAAGUACGU